RNAcentral lists this transfer RNA (67 nucleotides) under Euaesthetus ruficapillus. Its description in RNAcentral is "tRNA-Cys". The record is from RNAcentral. Lineage: Eukaryota; Metazoa; Arthropoda; Insecta; Coleoptera; Staphylinidae.
AGUCUUAUAGUCAAAUAUGACAUUAAAUUGCAAAUUUAAAGGAAAAUAUAAAUAUAUUUUAAGGCUU